This 225-nucleotide ribosomal RNA is filed under the name uncultured bacterium. RNAcentral describes it as "partial 16S ribosomal RNA". It matches the Rfam family "Bacterial small subunit ribosomal RNA", at positions 15 to 244 of the family's 1533-position model. The record is from RNAcentral.
GAUCAUGGCUCAGGAUGAACGCUGGCGGCGUGCCUAAUACAUGCAAGUCGAACGCUUCACUUCGGUGAAGAGUGGCGAACGGGUGAGUAAUACAUAAGUAACCUGGCAUCUACAGGGGGAUAACUGAUGGAAACGUCAGCUAAGACCGCAUAGGUGUAGGGAUCGCAUGAACUCUAUAUGAAAAGUGCUACGGGACUGGUAGAUGAUGGACUUAUGGCGCAUUAG